This 801-nucleotide long non-coding RNA is filed under the name Mustela putorius furo (domestic ferret). RNAcentral's name for it is "lncRNA (ENSMPUG00000029979.1)". Lineage: Eukaryota; Metazoa; Chordata; Mammalia; Carnivora; Mustelidae. The record is from RNAcentral.
UGGAUUUUCUCCACCCCAGGGCCAGCAGCCACACUUCCCAACCACCACAGGGGACAAUUCAAAAGAAACAAACACCCAAAAGGUGGAAUCAUUGCGUGAGAUUGUUACUCAAUAGGAUCAUCUAAGCAAAUGCCUAGGCUGGCCCUACAUUUUCACUCUCUGGGUGUAAUUCCUGUGUAGAAACUUGCAUAAUUGGUCUUUCUCUCCCUGAGGAACCAGAACUUUAUCUGGGAAUUCCUGUUUUCAUGCGUGGGGCCUGGAUCCAUAAACAAGCUUAUUCCCGUGUGCAGGUCUUCAGGGACAUCAGACACAGGUAAAUUUCUUCAGCAUGCCUCCUGCAGAACCUUCACAGUGGGUCUCAGCAGAUCUCUGGACAGGUCUAGGUAAGUUUAGAUUGAGCUAAUGCCAUCUCCCUGCAAGUCCAUAAGUCUUCACCAGAUGUCUACGUGCCAUGGGUCUCAUCUAUCACCUCUGCUUUCCAAAUGGCUAUUUUCAAAAGCCAUCUCAAUGGAAAUGAAAAAAAAAAUGCUUUUAAGGAAACCAUUGAAGAAAAGAACUACAAGCUCUGAAACAGAAAGCACUAUGGGAGGCACUCAGGACUUGCACACAGUAGGGACGGAGAUUGGCUGCCCACAGGGAGGGGCUGUGCUUCCAAGAGGAGUCAGGCUACAGCUCAGCUACUUCUUCACAGUUUCCAGGAGGAGGAGAAGUCAGCUAUCCAGGUGCCCAGGAGGAAAUGUAGGAUUUGGAGGUCACCUCCACCCAUUUGCUAUGAGUAAAUGUGCAGUGUUCUCAGUAUGA